Molecule: non-coding RNA, 6337 nt
Organism: Phoenix dactylifera (date palm)
Lineage: Eukaryota; Viridiplantae; Streptophyta; Magnoliopsida; Arecales; Arecaceae
Source: RefSeq, a predicted model, not a curated record
UAUUCUGACAUCAAUUCACUUUUUCCAUCAUAAUCUAACUUCUAGCAUUGGGUUUUGAUGUAUAUCUGUCAGCAUUAAUUUCAUGUGUCACAGCUUUUCCAUAGUCAUCAUUAAUGUCGUAUUAUGCAGAAUUAGAUGUUGUUUUAAUGAUUAUAUGAUAUAGACAAGUGUUCACGCAUAGCGAGAAACCUCAAUAAAAUUUGGACAAGUUCCAAGAUAAUAUUAGCUACUAAACCAAUGAUCAAAAGUCCCAAUCGGAACAAAGGACAUGUGAGGGUUUCAUGGAGAAAAUGUCCAUAUCCAGCUUAAGGUUUAGGCAUUUUAUGCAGGGAGGGCUCAUGAGUAUGGACAUGAGUGUUGAAAUUCCACAUAUAUGAAGCGUGUAAUUUGGGAAGCUUAAGGUUAUAAAGUCUACAAGUUGGUAAGCUGGUUUCAUAGGAAAAGAAGUGCUAUAUAUUUAUUGCUUUAAUAGCAUGACAAACCAGAAAGGUAGAACUCAAGCAAAUUUCUUGGCCUUCAAAGAAGUUUAGACUUUGAAGAUGUUUAGCCAAAACAUGUAUAUGUAGUAAAUUUAUCUAUUGAUAUUGCAUGUCUUGAAAAGAAAUGAAUUCGAACAAGUUUUGUUAGUCAUGCUGGACUUUGAUGCUGAAGACACUAAUCAUGAGGUUAUGAUGGACAUGGACACCUGUGUAUCCCACGCCUGCACAUAUCAAUAUGGAUCUGAAGUAUCCAUGCAAGGUAAUGAAAGAUAUCCAAGUACCUAAUAUCAUUAUUUGAGACUAUGGAUGUGCCAAAACCAUGACUACUAAUUUCAAUAUAUAAGUUGGAGACAACCACAAAAGUCUAAAGUAACCAGGGAAUGUUAUGACCAAUGACAAUUGAUAUCAGAAUAGAUAUUAUUAAGUAUAAUCCAAGCUUUUACACUAUAGCCACAAUGAUGUGAACAUCAAUUUUUGACUGCUAGGCCUUGUUGUCAUUUAGCAUUGGAGAUACAAAUUUGUCCAAAUUCCACUAUCUCAUUUUCUUAUGUUGAUAGUUGGAUUGCAUGCAUGUCGUGUUGGUUGAUAUUACUGAAGUUCGUAUGUCCUUAUUUGUUUCUAAUAUUCAUUCAUUUUUUCUCUCUUGUCAAAUUUCCAUGCAGUUUGAUAAGAUGCAAGAGUAUGCUUUUCUUGUUUAUGAGACCUUCAUUGGAAAAACAGCAUGGAAAUGUAUAUCGCAAAAAUAUUUUUCUUAUGAAGAGUCCGCUAGAUGUAGUAGCAUCAAAGCAUAUUUUAUGCACAUGUUAAGCUUUACAAGUGUUGUUGAAAUUAUCAAUAAAAAAGCAAUUUCUAGAAAACCAUCCUCCCCAUUUGCGGACAUAGUUUUAAGAAGAAAACCGACAAGACCAAAAAAAAAAAAAAACACAACAGCACAAAGUGUCCAAAAUUUGCAUGUAAAUUGGUAAAUACUGCUACCAGUUACAGCCUCACCUUCUAAGAGCACAAGAGAAGAACGAGUGCCCUAACUAUUCUUCAUUGACUUGAUAUCCACUGUAAGAUGCAUGAUAUAUAAGGUCUUACCUUUAAAAAUCUUGUUGUCCCAUUGUGUUAUAGGUCUUCGCCAAACAUUAGUAUUUUUGUAAUCCAUGAUUUUUUUAUGUUUUAACGCUUGAACCCAAAUCUUAUGGGGACACCAGUGGUUUAAGAAGGCUAAGAACUAUUCAAUGAGCUCCAAAAAGUCUGUUAGGUUCCCUCAGAAAAAGAGAUAAUGAGCAUGCUCUAGUCCUCUGGUAGACAAGAAUUGCACUAUUUAGAUGCCACUUUCUGCUUUAAAAGGUAUUUGAGGCAAAGAUUUUUAUAGUGACAAGAAAACAAGCACCUGUAUUUUGCAAUGAAAUUAUAGUUUUUGAAACUAAAUCUUGGAUGCUAGAGCAUAUAUUCCUAUCCAUGAGAAAAUAGUAAAAGGAAGUCGUGGAGAUGUUUCCCUAGCACUCACCUCCACAAUCUUAUACCUCUUCCUCAUCUUUGAACAUGGUCCUUCUGAUUGCUAGUCUAAACGGAUGUUCAAUCUCCAUCUCUCUCACCUUGAACUAGUCCUUAACCAUAAUAUUUUUCUUGAUGGCAUUCAAGAAAGUCCAGGGGAAAAAAAAACUCAGGCAUUGUGGGACCACAUUAAAUUCUUUUUAAACCUGUACCACAUUGAACCUAAUAGAUGUUCUAAAAGAUUUAAAGGAGUACAAAAUUCCCCAUUAGCUUAAGGUAUCUUAUCUAUACAAUUACUCUUCAAAGUUCAAAGCUUAUUAUGAAACAUGGUUAGGUUAAUGUUUCUAGCCUUUCUGAUGCCAGGGCCUGUCCCGAAGAUUGUUUAACCUUUAUUUAAGAGGUGAUAUUUGCCCCUUCCAUCAAAUCCUCUCUCUUCCUCUAAAUCUGUUCUCAAAAUUUCUUUAAAUUGUUGUCUAGCCUGAAAUGCAAAAACAUGAAAUAAGAGGGAAGGUCGACCGGAAUUAUAUAUGAACGAGAGUCACCAAUGUUGCCUCGACAUGUUAAGCCAACUGUCCAAGUGUCCAAUAGAGUUGGACACAGGAACCUUCAGAAAAUUGGACACUGGGACUCAUCCAUCUUGUCUAAUGCGUUUGUAAAUAUGUAUGUGUGUAUUCUAAAUAAUGAAUAAUUUGGGAGACCAACUGCUUAAUAUUUCGAUAGAGUUGACCAAAUGUUUAUUAAUGUUAUAUCACACUUGAAGUUCAAGGUAUGUGUACUAAAAAUUGAUAUGCAAAAAUAUGAUGAUACUAUGAUUUGUUUAAUAUGAAGCGUCAAGUAGUGUCAUGAAGUUUCCAGGUGUCUAAGCGUCCGGACACAUCAAGAAAGCCAAAAUUUGAAGUGCUCAGGUAAGACUGGCCCUUAACCUUAAAUCGGAUAUGUUUAUCAUUUCACUUCCAUCCCUCAGGUGAUUAAUCAGACCUCUUAAGAACAAGUUAUCAAUUGUUCUUCCUUGCACAAAAAUAUGAAAACAGACACAUUGUCAUUGUCAGAAAAUUACAAAUUCACCUUAUGUAUUCUAAAGACAUCAUAAAGUUGAAGAGGAUAUCAGAGGAAAAGUUCCAUUAUUUUAAUUUGAAUGCCAGCUAAUGUUAAUAUUGUGAUUAGGAAACGGUACCUCUUCAACUUUGCUACAGUCAAGAUUUUGCUGGCACUGAUUUUUCAAUGACAAGCUGUACAUAUUUCUAUACACCCUUUGCUUGUCUGUGGACUAUCUUAUGCAGCACUUCUUUUGGCUGGAGUUGAAUAAGCACUUGGUCUCAUGACUGCAAGAUUAAAAAGUCUAUAGGAAGGCGAUUUUUUGAGGAGUUGUAUAGAGAUGGUGAUGGUCAGGUACAUAUUUAAUAGUUUGAAUAUGUUCUGGAAUUGAAUAAGCACUUGGUCUCAUGACUGCAAGAUUAAAAAGUCUAUAGGAAGGCGAUUUUUUGAGGAGUUGUAUAGAGAUGGUGAUGGUCAGGUAACCCUUGAAGACCUUGAAAUUGCAAUGAGGAAGAGAAGGCUGCCAAGAAGGUAUUCUUGGGAUUUUCAGCACUGCACUCAAAGCAACAUAUUUUCAAAGUCAAUUGGGCGGAAACAGUUUUUGUCCUUGAUGGAGCAGAAGGAGCCGAAAAUAUUUAGAGCUUACACAACCCUCUGUUUGAGCAAGUCUGGAACACUUCAAAAAAAUCAAAUCUUGACAUCGCUCAAAAGUGCAGGCCUUCCUGCUAAUGAAGAUAAUGCUGUUGCUAUGAUGCAUUAUCUGAAUGCAGAUACUGAAGGAUCUAUUUCAUACAGUCAUUUCCGCAAUUUUAUGCUGCUGCUUCCUUCAGAGAGACUUGAAGAUGAUCCACGAUUUGGUGAAAGAGUAUCUGGUUUGAAGCUGCUACACUUGUAGCUGUUCCUCCACCUGUGGAUAUAUCUGCUGAAAAUGUUCUAAAGUCUGCUUUGGCAGGAGGUCUUGCUUGUGCACUUUCUACUUCUGUGAUGCAUCCCAUUGAUACAAUUAAGAUGUGUACAAGCAUUAAUUCUUUCAUUCCCAGAACUUGUAUCAAAAUUUCUGCAACUUGGGCUUCGGGGAUAUAUAGAGCAAUUCUUGGGCGAUUUUCGAGCCAUUGAUUGAAGACUGGUUUUUUGGAAGCAAGCAAGUUAGUUUUAAUAAAUGUUGCCCCAACACUUCCAGAUAUUCAGGUGCAAUCCUUGUCGUCCUUCUGCAGCACAAUCCUGGGAACAGCUGUUUGAAUUCCUUAUGAAGUUUUAAAGCAGUGGGUACAGGCAGGCAUUGUUGACAAUGUAGUAGAGGCAAUUGUGGGUACCAUGCACCAAGAUGAUCUCAAAAGUUUCUUUCAAGGGACUGGUGCAACGGUUUUUCGGGAGGUCCCAUUCUAUGUCGCUGGCAUGGGUCUUUAUGCGGAAGCUAAAAAGGUUUUCAGAUUUUCAAUUAUGACAUGUCUAGAUGAUAGAUUUGCUGAGGAUUCCCAGAAAAACUUUGUGGAAGAAUUAUUCCAAAUAAUCAGAAAUCCUCAGCCAGUGUAUGCCAUUUAUAUGCAGCUUGAGUGUGCAAUUUAGUUUUAUCUAUUAUAUUCUGGACAGUUCUUGUGAUUGAUUUUCUGUAGGAUUUAUAGCACUAAAUUCCCAGAAAAUAAAAAUUCCAAACAACCAGAAAAUCCUUAACCUGAAUAUGCCAUUUCCUUUUGUUGCAACUUGAACUAGGUUGCAAUUUGGGUUUUCCUGAUCACAUGUAUUGUUUAUAGAGUUUGUGGAUACGUAUCUGAGUUAAUCAUGCUCAUUUGAAUAAAAUUUUACUCCAACAAAUUCAUACGAAUUUUCAUGAUAUUUGAAUGCACCAUUUAGUUAUUAUAUGGCGCAUAUCCCUAUAUGUUCUAUAUAUUUGUCCAUCUGUGUAUUUUGAAGUUUCUGCUGCUAAUUAGUCUUUUUCCCUCCCCUCCCUUUUGGUGGGUGGAAAGGAGGAAAACUUAUAACAACCUAAGAUGCAUGGAUCAAAAAAACCGUAUAUUUAAAAAUUGUAGAACAAAAAAAAUAAAAUUUUCAUGAAAAAUUAAUGGACAAUAUGAAUGCAUGUUUGACAUGAAAGCUUUUGUAUAUGCAUUCUUGUUGCUCAGAUUGACAAUUCUCUUCUUCCUCCCUUGGCCCUGCUUGUUUUCUGUUUUCAAAAUUCUAAGAAGAAAAUUGAACUAGUCCGAACGAAUAUGUAUGAUGUAACUCUAUUGCUUUCUAAAUUGUUUAUAAAACCUCUGGAGCUUUUGGCAGCAGAGAUUUAUUGCUUUUAGAGAAAGUGAAAAUAAGAGCAAGGAAUGGCAGAAGUUUUGUGCGAACACUUUCUCUAACUUUAAUCUCCAUGUGAUGUUUCACUAAUUUGUAGGGAAACAGAAACACAAAAAUUGCAACAGUACUAAACAGGCGCUAAAUUUUUAGGUAUUUUCAGAAACCAAAACUACCAUAACCAGUUUCUCCUGAUACAGCUGGCUGGCAAACUAUUAUUGUGUGGAAUUUGUGCUAGUGGGGGUAGGAGCAACAGCUUUCCUGAAGUAUGAUAGCAUUAACAUCGUUUUCUCUAUAACUAGAAUGCAUUUUCAAGUGAUAAAUAUUUAUUGGUGCCAGAAACUGUGAUCUAAAUCAACCUACAGCAUUUCUUUCUUUCCCUUCAUCAUGAAUAACUUUCUAAGUGCGGAGAAAGUGAUCCGGUCGAUGUCAGGUUUCUUGUUUAGAAUGUGAAGCAAUAAAAGUAAUUGCAUGAUAUAGUUUCCUGUUGGGUCCACCACCUAUACAGUUUUUCUACAAAAUUUGCAUGUAAAUUAACUCUUGGUUCCGGCUCGUUCUAAAGGCUGCACAGAAUUUUCUUAACCGAGAUUUGGAACCUUAGGAGAUUGUCAUGGUGGGGGCUUUGUCUGGUGGGUUGCUGUUGUCAUUACAGCUCCUUUUGAUGUGAUGAAGACAAGGAUGACGAUCGCUCCGCAGGGCCGGCCAUUUUCGAUGCAAAUGGUGGCCUUCUCCAUUCUUCGUAAAGACGGGCUCACUGGCCUCUUUAAGGGCGCUGUCCCCAGCUUCUUCUGGAUUGCACAUCUUGGUGCAAUGAAUUUUGCUGGUUAUGAGCUAACAAAGAAGGCAAUGGACAAAAGUGAGUACAUGGUUGGUGAGCAGUUGCACAAGAAGCGCAUGGCUGGGUCUGGGUAACCUGUCUACUGAUUUAUUAUUAUUAUUAUUAUUAUUAUUAUUAUUAUUUUCACCCUUUCUGGCUAGACAUGAAUUGGCUGUGCAACAGAGCUAUUCUUGCAAAACAGCUUUCUUAUGAAUAUGUUGCCUUCUAGAUGUGCUCGUUGUUC